AUUGAACGCUGGCGGCAUGCUUUACACAUGCCAGUCGAACGGCGGCGCGUGCUUCGGCCUGUCGGCGAGUGGCGAACGGGUGAGUAAUGCAUCGGAACGUUCCCAGUAGUGGGGGAUAGCCCGGCGAAAGCCGGAUUAAUACCGAAUACGACCUGUGGGUGAAAGCGGGGGACCGAAAGGCCUCGCGCUAUUGGAGCGGCCGAUGUCGGCUUAGCUAGUUGGUGGGGUAAAGGCUUACCAAGGCGACGAUCCGUAGCUGGUCUGAGAGGACGACCAGCCACACUGGGACUGCGACACGGCCCAGACUCCUACGGGAGGCAGCAGUGGGGAAUUUUGGACAAUGGGGGCAACCCUGAUCCAGCCAUGCCGAGUGCGGGAAGAAGGCCUUCGGGUUGUAAACCGAUUUUGUUCGGGAAGAAAUCCUCUGGGCUAAUACCCCGGGGGGAUGAGGGUACCGGAAGAAUAAGCACCGGCUAACUACGUG
Molecule: ribosomal RNA, 484 nt
Filed under: uncultured bacterium
Lineage: Bacteria
Description: partial 16S ribosomal RNA
Rfam family: Bacterial small subunit ribosomal RNA
Source: RNAcentral